UGAAUACGAGACGCUAAGGCGUCGAAGUAGUGUAUGUCAUACUUCCAAGAAAAGCUUGCACUGUCAUAGAUAAAAAACGCCUGUACCAUAACCGACACAGGUGGGUAGGUAGAGUAUACUAAGGGGCGCGAGAUAACUCUCUCUAAGGAACUCGGCAAAAUAACUCCGUAACUUCGGGAGAAGGAGUGCCUUAUUCGUAAGGUUGCAAUAACAAGAUCCAAGCAACUGUUUAUCAAAAACACAGGUCUCCGCUAAGUCGUAAGACGAUGUAUGGGGGCUGACGCCUGCCCAGUGCCAGAAGGUUAAAGAAGUUGGUUAGCAAUUGCGAAGCUGAUAACUGAAGCCCUGGUGAACGGCGGCCGUAACUAUAACGGUCCUAAGGUAGCGAAAUUCCUUGUCGGGUAAGUUCCGACCCGCACGAAAGGCGUAAUGAUUUGGAUACUGUCUCGGAGAGGGGCUCGGUGAAAUAGACUUGUCUGUGAAGAUGCGGACUACCUGCACCAGGACAGAAAGACCCUAUGAAGCUUUACUGUAACUUGAAAUUGAAAUUGGACUUUAUUCGCGCAGUAUAGGUGGGAGGCGUUGAUUAUAAUCUUGUGGGAUUAUUGGAGCCUUCAGUGAGAUACCACUCUUGUAAUGUUAGAUUUCUAACUUUGAAUCAUUAUCUGGUCAAAGAACAGUUUCAGGCGGGCAGUUUGACUGGGGCGGUCGCCUCCUAAACGGUAACGGAGGCGUACAAGGGUUUCCUCUGAACGGUUAGAAAUCGUAUCUAGAGUGUAAAGGCAUAAGGAAGCUUGACUGUGAGACCUACAAGUCGAGCAGGGACGAAAGUCGGUCUUAGUGAUCUGACGGUACUGAGUGGAAAGGCCGUCACUCAACGGAUAAAAGUUACUCUAGGAUAACAGGCUGAUCUCCCCCAAGAGUUCUCAUCGACGGGGAGGUUUGGCACCUGGAUGUCGGCUCAUCGCAUCCUGGGGCGGUAGUACGUCCCAAGGGUUGGGCUGUUCGCCCAUGAAAGCGGUACGCGAGCUGGGUUCAGAACGUCGUGAGACAGUUCGGUCCAUAUCCGGUGUAGGCGUUAGAAUAUUGAGAGGAGCCUUCUUUAGUACGAGAGGACCGAGAAGGACAUACCUCUGGUGUACCAGUUAUCGUGCCAACGGUAAACGCUGGGUAGCUAUGUAUGGAGUGGAUAACCGCUGAAAGCAUCUAAGUGGGAAGCCCACCUCAAGAUAAGUAUUCUU
RNAcentral lists this ribosomal RNA (1241 nucleotides) under metagenome. Its description in RNAcentral is "bacterial LSU rRNA". It matches the Rfam family "Bacterial large subunit ribosomal RNA", at positions 1564 to 2815 of the family's 2925-position model. The record is from RNAcentral.